UACGAAGGGGGCUAGCGUUGCUCGGAAUCACUGGGCGUAAAGCGCACGUAGGCGGCUAUUCAAGUCGGGGGUGAAAGCCCGGGGCUCAACCCCGGAACUGCCCUCGAAACUAGAUAGCUAGAAUCUUGGAGAGGCGAGUGGAAUUCCGAGUGUAGAGGUGAAAUUCGUAGAUAUUCGGAAGAACACCAGUGGCGAAGGCGACUCGCUGGACAAGUAUUGACGCUGAGGUGCGAAAGCGUGGGGAGCAAACGGG
This 253-nucleotide ribosomal RNA is filed under the name uncultured bacterium. RNAcentral's name for it is "partial 16S ribosomal RNA". It matches the Rfam family "Bacterial small subunit ribosomal RNA", at positions 524 to 776 of the family's 1533-position model. The record is from RNAcentral.